RNAcentral lists this ribosomal RNA (249 nucleotides) under uncultured bacterium. RNAcentral describes it as "partial 16S ribosomal RNA". It matches the Rfam family "Bacterial small subunit ribosomal RNA", at positions 524 to 771 of the family's 1533-position model. The record is from RNAcentral.
UACGGAGGGUGCGAGCGUUGUCCGGAAUCACUGGGCGUAAAGGGCGCGUAGGCGGCUCAUGAAGGCUGUGGUGAAAGUCCGGGGCUCAACCUCGGAUCGGCCGUGGCGACUCGUGGGCUGGAGCACUGUAGAGGCGGGUGGAAUUCCGGGUGUAGCGGUGGAAUGCGUAGAGAUCCGGAAGAACACCAGUGGCGAAGGCGGCCCGCUGGGCAGUGGCCUGACGCUGAAGCGCGACAGCGUGGGGAGCAA